Molecule: transfer RNA, 76 nt
Filed under: Erwinia phage pEp_SNUABM_01
Lineage: Duplodnaviria; Heunggongvirae; Uroviricota; Caudoviricetes
Also listed under: 2 other names
Description: tRNA-Met
Rfam family: tRNA
About the family: Transfer RNA (tRNA) molecules are approximately 80 nucleotides in length. Their secondary structure includes four short double-helical elements and three loops (D, anti-codon, and T loops).
Source: RNAcentral
CGUGCAGUAGCUCAGACGGUAGAGCAGCACCUUCAUAAGGUGAUGGUCGGUGGUUCAAGUCCACCCUGCACGACCA